This is a long non-coding RNA of Acanthochromis polyacanthus (spiny chromis), 1800 nucleotides long. RefSeq lists it as uncharacterized. The transcript has 2 exons. The record is from RefSeq and is a predicted model, not a curated record. NCBI's taxonomy places the organism in Eukaryota, Metazoa, Chordata, Actinopteri, Pomacentridae.
GACCGGGAGAGGAAGCAAAGAACACAGAUACUGUAUGCUCUCGCUGUGCCCACUCCUCCUCCCCCCCUGCACCGCUGCAGAUUGGGAAACUGUCUGAAAACAAACAGGGACAGGACUCAAGGGAUACUUGUGACUGAAUGUGUGAGUUCGAGUGUGUGUGCGUGCGCGUGUGUGCGUACACAGCAUUUGCAAACACAAAUGCCUGAAAAUAAUGAAUGCUUACAUCGCACAUUACUUUGACUGUAUGUAAAACUCUUAUUUGACAUAAGGCAGUAAUAUCGCGACUGAAAGAGGCAAAGAGUUUAUUGUGGAGCAAAAAGAGAGGGUUCAUCACAUUCACCAAUCCUUAGGCAGUAAGAUCGCAACGCGGAGACAAGAAGGACAAUGAUUGUCAGAGAAUUUUCUUUGUGUCGCCCCUGCUGCUCUGUACUGUUCAGCGCAACUGUCACAGCAGCAAGAAAAGGAGCAUUAAUGGUGCUAAUCUUUGACAAUUAAUCCCACUUUCAUCAGAUAUAUUGUUGCAGAGAAUGUCUGCACAUGCUCAUGCAUAUGCACGCUGAACAGCAGAUAAAAAUACACACACAGAGACAACUUUUAUCUCCAUGUGCACACGCUGUAUUUCUCCACACACAUGCAAGUACCAGGCAAACACACACCUGGACUCAGCCACUGAAGAAUUAUGUGGUGCAGCUUACUGAUCUAAAUGUGGAAGUUUAUGUCAAUCAAAUCUGUAGUGCUGAGAUGCUACUAUGACAGUAUCAGAUGUUAAAACAGCCAAACUCAAAGAUUGCAUAUGUCAGUACACUAUUAGGUGUCCAUAUCUUCUCUCGUCUGUGAGCACAGAACAUUUUUGUAGAACGAAGCAGAACAGUGUGGUCAUACUAAAAAGCACUUGCCAUGUGAGAAUCAACAGUAUGAACAUGUCCUAAUGUUCCAACCAAUUCCUGUGAUACUUGAGACACAAUAGCCCCUUUCAAGUGAGAAAAGCAAUUCCACAUGAAGUGGGAGUUACAUGUACUUACUCGUAUGUGAAGUGAGAGUGCCGCAUUACAAGAAUAUGUAACCUUUGUUGCCUCACUUUACUUAGGAAGUACACAGGAAAAGAAUAUCAUUAGGUCUGGAUAAAUACAAGCAGCAGGUAGGGGGACAAAUCAUCCUGCCGGGUUUUGUCUUAAGGCAUGUGGGAUUUUUCAUCAAGCAAUGUCGCCAUCUACAGUGGCUGAGGGCGAAAUUUUGACUGGCAGCUGAGGAAACCGGACACCCAGGCUCAGCAGUGGCUAGCACUCAACCGUCUUUGUGCCCACCGGCUGGGCAGUGGGGCCCUACAGUGCCUGGACCUUUCCACCAGGACUGGGAGAUCACAGCCACCCCCCGUCGCUCGCUACACCAGAUAGGAGGCUCUACGCCUGGAGAAGAGGGAGUGGGAAGGAGCCUGCUGUGGAUGUCAGUGACCAGAGAGAGAGAGGCGGAGGAAAAGAAAUAACGAUGAAAACAUGCCGGAUCGAAGGGGAAAAGAGGAGGAAAAUGCUAAAUGAAGCUCCAGAUGUAGUCCAUGGGAAUAAUCUGUAGUUGACUGGUUUUGGUCAGAGACAUGUUAUGUAGUGGCUGGUGAUGGCUCAUAGUGCAUAUCUGAACACGCACAGAAGGAGUGCUCAUCAUGCCUCGUUCCUGCUUUGUUUAAUAAUGCUGCAUCCUUGAUGUAAAACUGUGGAUAUAAACACUGUCCCUUUGUUCGUCUCUUUUGGUAAAUGUACUUUCAUAUUACUCAAUAAAUGCAAACUCGCUGAUUUAGUUUUGAGA